GGGCGAUUGGCUCAGCUGGUCAGAGCGUUGCGUUCACAUCGCAAAGGUCACAGGUCCGAAUCCUGUAUCGCCCA
This 74-nucleotide transfer RNA is filed under the name Candidatus Omnitrophota bacterium. RNAcentral describes it as "tRNA-Val". It matches the Rfam family "tRNA". From Rfam's summary of the family: Transfer RNA (tRNA) molecules are approximately 80 nucleotides in length. Their secondary structure includes four short double-helical elements and three loops (D, anti-codon, and T loops). Further hydrogen bonds mediate the characteristic L-shaped molecular structure. tRNAs have two regions of fundamental functional importance: the anti-codon, which is responsible for specific mRNA codon recognition, and the 3' end, to which the tRNAs corresponding amino acid is attached (by aminoacyl-tRNA synthetases). tRNAs cope with the degeneracy of the genetic code in two manners: having more than one tRNA (with a specific anti-codon) for a particular amino acid; and 'wobble' base-pairing, i.e. permitting non-standard base-pairing at the 3rd anti-codon position. The record is from RNAcentral. Lineage: Bacteria; Pseudomonadati; Candidatus Omnitrophota.